GAUGAACGCUGGCGGCGUGCCUAAUACAUGCAAGUCGAGCGAACAGAUAAGGAGCUUGCUCCUUUGACGUUAGCGGCGGACGGGUGAGUAACACGUGGGUAACCUACCUAUAAGACUGGGAUAACUUCGGGAAACCGGAGCUAAUACCGGAUAACAUUUGGAACCGCAUGGUUCUAAAGUGAAAGAUGGUUUUGCUAUCACUUAUAGAUGGACCCGCGCCGUAUUAGCUAGUUGGUAAGGUAACGGCUUACCAAGGCGACGAUACGUAGCCGACCUGAGAGGGUGAUCGGCCACACUGGAACUGAGACACGGUCCAGACUCCUACGGGAGGCAGCAGUAGGGAAUCUUCCGCAAUGGGCGAAAGCCUGACGGAGCAACGCCGCGUGAGUGAUGAAGGCUUUCGGCUCGUAAAACUCUGUUAUUAGGGAAGAACAAACGUGUAAGUAACUGUGCACGUCUUGACGGUACCUAAUCAGAAAGCCACGGCUAACUACGUG
RNAcentral lists this ribosomal RNA (497 nucleotides) under uncultured bacterium. Its description in RNAcentral is "partial 16S ribosomal RNA". It matches the Rfam family "Bacterial small subunit ribosomal RNA", at positions 28 to 507 of the family's 1533-position model. The record is from RNAcentral.